RNAcentral lists this small RNA (54 nucleotides) under Sinorhizobium meliloti 2011. RNAcentral describes it as "putative ncRNA". Lineage: Bacteria; Pseudomonadati; Pseudomonadota; Alphaproteobacteria; Hyphomicrobiales; Rhizobiaceae. The record is from RNAcentral.
UCUCGGAUAGGAAUAUCGGGGACGGUCAGCUGUGCGCCGUCCCCGGAAAGAGGG